RNAcentral lists this ribosomal RNA (703 nucleotides) under uncultured Pseudomonadota bacterium. RNAcentral describes it as "bacterial SSU rRNA". It matches the Rfam family "Bacterial small subunit ribosomal RNA", at positions 78 to 776 of the family's 1533-position model. Lineage: Bacteria; Pseudomonadati; Pseudomonadota. The record is from RNAcentral.
UGCUGCUUUGCUGACGAGUGGCGGACGGGUGAGUAAUGUCUGGGAAACUGCCUGAUGGAGGGGGAUAACUACUGGAAACGGUAGCUAAUACCGCAUAACGUCGCAAGACCAAAGAGGGGGACCUUCGGGCCUCUUGCCAUCGGAUGUGCCCAGAUGGGAUUAGCUAGUAGGUGGGGUAAAGGCUCACCUAGGCGACGAUCCCUAGCUGGUCUGAGAGGAUGACCAGCCACACUGGAACUGAGACACGGUCCAGACUCCUACGGGAGGCAGCAGUGGGGAAUAUUGCACAAUGGGCGCAAGCCUGAUGCAGCCAUGCCGCGUGUAUGAAGAAGGCCUUCGGGUUGUAAAGUACUUUCAGCGGGGAGGAAGGGAGUAAAGUUAAUACCUUUGCUCAUUGACGUUACCCGCAGAAGAAGCACCGGCUAACUCCGUGCCAGCAGCCGCGGUAAUACGGAGGGUGCAAGCGUUAAUCGGAAUUACUGGGCGUAAAGCGCACGCAGGCGGUUUGUUAAGUCAGAUGUGAAAUCCCCGGGCUCAACCUGGGAGCUGCAUCUGAUACUGGCAAGCUUGAGUCUCGUAGAGGGGGGUAGAAUUCCCAGGUGUAGCGGUGAAAUGCGUAGAGAUCUGGAGGAAUACCGGUGGCGAAGGCGGCCCCCUGGACGAAGACUGACGCUCAGGUGCGAAAGCGUGGGGAGCAAACAGG